GUACUGAUGAAGAGCCCCAAAAACUAGGACGAAACGGCUGUCCAGUAC
RNAcentral lists this non-coding RNA (48 nucleotides) under Trichobilharzia regenti. The record is from RNAcentral. Lineage: Eukaryota; Metazoa; Platyhelminthes; Trematoda; Strigeidida; Schistosomatidae.